Molecule: ribosomal RNA, 511 nt
Filed under: uncultured bacterium
Lineage: Bacteria
Description: bacterial SSU rRNA
Rfam family: Bacterial small subunit ribosomal RNA
Source: RNAcentral
GAUUAUGGCUCAGGAUGAACGCUAGCUACAGGCUUAACACAUGCAAGUCGAGGGGCAGCAUGACCUAGCAAUAGGUUGAUGGCGACCGGCGCACGGGUGAGUAACACGUAUCCAACCUACCGGUUAUUCCGGGAUAGCCUUUCGAAAGAAAGAUUAAUACCGGAUAGCAUAGCGAGAAGGCAUCUUCUUGUUAUUAAAGAAUUUCGAUGACCGAUGGGGAUGCGUUCCAUUAGUUUGUUGGCGGGGUAACGGCCCACCAAGACAUCGAUGGAUAGGGGUUCUGAGAGGAAGGUCCCCCACAUUGGAACUGAGACACGGUCCAAACUCCUACGGGAGGCAGCAGUGAGGAAUAUUGGUCAAUGGACGAGAGUCUGAACCAGCCAAGUAGCGUGAAAAGGAUGACUGCCCUAUGGGCUGUAAACUUCUUUUAUAUGGGAAUAAAGUGAGCCACGUGUGGCUUUUUGUAUGUACCAUACGAAUAAGGAUCGGCUAACUCCGUGCCAGCAGCCGC